This is a long non-coding RNA of Panthera uncia (snow leopard), 707 nucleotides long. RefSeq lists it as uncharacterized. The transcript has 4 exons. The record is from RefSeq and is a predicted model, not a curated record. NCBI's taxonomy places the organism in Eukaryota, Metazoa, Chordata, Mammalia, Carnivora, Felidae.
UGAAAAAAUAAAUUUGUGAUGAAUUGGAAACACAAAGAAUUUUGAGCUUGGAAUAUUCCUUGCUGUCCCUAACUCUGAUGAUAAAGUUGCCUUCUAACUCCUGAUACAGAUGUCAGUGGCUGUGGUCAACUUCUAUGGCUCUGCUACAUGUCUUCUCAUUCCAGAUUCCAGCCUCAAAAAGUGUGCCUUAUUUGGGACAUCCAAAAAAGAAGAACUCUUGAUGCCUCCUAAAGUUUCUAAAUGUCCAGAAGUGUUCCUCAGAAAGAAUGUGCAUAGGUAGCGAGUUUCUCAAUAAAAAGCUUCUUCAUAAAAACUACAUAGAGGACUUAUGCUUCCAGCCAAGAUUGAUUGCACCGUGGGAAGAUUCAGAGCUCCCUUCUUCUGUAGACACUCAGCUGAAUGAGAAAACACAAACAUCAAAAACAGGUAGGAAAGACUGAAGACACAUUUUUUGGUAAGGAACUCCCAAAUCCCAGCUUUAGUUAGGCUAGGGUCCAUGAGACCUACAAGACUAUGGCACACAAAGGAGCAGUUGCUAGUGAGCACAAAGGCACUCUUCAGUAGACAUCCUAUACCCUGCCCUGCCUCCUGCCAGCUCAGUAUGGAGUGAGCAGGCAAAAUGGCCCAUCUCCCAGUCUUUCCUGAAAGAGUUACAUCUGCCUACUUUGAAAGCACUGCCUAAGUUGGCUUCUAAUGUAGCAUAUAUC